RNAcentral lists this long non-coding RNA (990 nucleotides) under Gallus gallus (chicken). The record is from RNAcentral. Lineage: Eukaryota; Metazoa; Chordata; Aves; Galliformes; Phasianidae.
CUUCCAUUGGCGGCCAUCUUGGAGUGCUGGUUGGCCGUUGUAAUGUCUUCCAUUGGCGGCCAUCUUGGGUGGGUCAGUCACCAUGACCUCUUCCAUUGGCGGCCAUCUUGGAGUGCUGGUUGGCCAUUGUAACCACUUCCAUUGGCAGCCAUCUUGGAGAUCUUAUUGGCCAUUGUAACCUCCUCCAUCGGCGGCCAUCUUGGGUCGGUUGGUUGCCCACAUUGAUUUCUUUCAUCGGUGGCCAUCUUGGAGUGCUGGUUGGCCGUUGCAAUGUCUUCCAUUGGCAGCCAUCUUGGGUGGGUCGGUCACCAUGACCUCCUCCAUCGGCGGCCAUCUUGGAGAUCUGAUUGGCCAUUGUAACCUCCUCCAUCGGCAGCCAUCUUGGGUUGGUUGGUUGCCCACCAUGACCUCUUCCAUCGGCAGCCAUCUUCGAGAUCUGAUUGGCCAUUGUAACCCCCUCCAUCGGCGGCCAUCUUGGGUUGGUCGGUUGCCCUCCGGGAGCUCCUCCAUCGGCGGCCAUUUUUUCCUCCUCCAUCGACGGCCAUCUUGGGGGGUUGAUUGGCCAUUGUAACCUCCUCCAUUGGCGGCCAUAUUGGGCUCUUGGUUGCCCGCUAUGACCUCUUCCAUCGGCGGUCAUCUUGGAGUGCUGGUUGGCCAUUUUAAUGGCUUCCAUUGGCGGCCAUCUUGGAGUGCUGGUUGCCCACCAUGACCUCUUCCAUCGCCGGCCAUCUUGGAGUGCUGGUUGGCCGUUGUAAUGUCUUCCAUUGGCGGCCAUCUUGGGUGGGUUGGUCACCAUGACCUCUUCCAUCGGCGGCCAUCUUGGAGUGCUGGUUGGCCACCAUGAGCUUUUCCAUUGGCGGCCAUCUUGGGCUGUUGGUUGGCCAUUGUAACCUUCUCUAUCGGCAGCCAUCUUGGGCUGUUGGUUGCCUGCCAUGACCUCUUCCAUUGGCGGCCAUCUUGGAGUCCUGGUUGGCCAUUGUAACCACUUCC